CGAGGUGUAGCUUAAGUAGAAAAGCAUCUCCCUUACACUGAGAAAACGCCCGUGCAAACCGGACCGCCCCGAC
RNAcentral lists this transfer RNA (73 nucleotides) under Neoglyphidodon melas (bowtie damselfish). RNAcentral describes it as "tRNA-Val". It matches the Rfam family "tRNA". Rfam says of the family: Transfer RNA (tRNA) molecules are approximately 80 nucleotides in length. Their secondary structure includes four short double-helical elements and three loops (D, anti-codon, and T loops). Lineage: Eukaryota; Metazoa; Chordata; Actinopteri; Pomacentridae. The record is from RNAcentral.